This 527-nucleotide unclassified non-coding RNA is filed under the name Hevea brasiliensis (rubber tree). The record is from RNAcentral. Lineage: Eukaryota; Viridiplantae; Streptophyta; Magnoliopsida; Malpighiales; Euphorbiaceae.
AUGUUAAUGUGGCUAUUAUAGCAAAUUUCAUUGCAUUGAUAUAUUAUUUUAUAUUUUAAUAUGGUUAUAGAUUAUUUACAUAAAAAUAUUUAUAGAAGGGGUAUGGUGGUAAUUGACUUCACUUAUUUUUACUUUCCCCAGCCUAACCAAACACUAUAAGUACAUUCCAUAGAAAAUUGAAAUUACAAUUAAAUAUGAUAAUGUAACAUUCAUAGAUUAACUUUAUUGGAAAUCUACUUUCCCGUGAAAGUGAUUCCAAAUGAGAAUGUUGAAAUCUGGCAACCAAACUCCCCCCAUAUCCAAGAUUUAUUUGUAGUUAUACAUAAUCCAUUGCUAUAUAUUUAUGCCACCAUAUAAUGGUGCCACCUAUAGUGAAUAUAUGUAGGCCCAUAGCCUCUUCCUGCAUUUUUUUCCCCAAGAUGCAAUAUUCUCUGUUAUUAGUGCUGGAAUGGAUCAAUAUUUCUUCCUUUGGUGAUUUAGUAUAAGAAAAUCCAUCUAGUUUGGCAUUAUUAAGCUUUAUCAUCAGG